RNAcentral lists this ribosomal RNA (253 nucleotides) under uncultured bacterium. RNAcentral's name for it is "partial 16S ribosomal RNA". It matches the Rfam family "Bacterial small subunit ribosomal RNA", at positions 524 to 776 of the family's 1533-position model. The record is from RNAcentral.
UACGUAGGGCGCAAGCGUUGUCCGGAAUUAUUGGGCGUAAAGGGCGCGUAGGCGGUUCGAUAAGUCCCGUGUGAAAUCCCUCGGCUCAACUGAGGAACUGCACGGGAAACUGACGGGCUUGAGUUCGGGAGAGGGAAGCGGAAUUCCGGGUGUAGCGGUGAAAUGCGUAGAUAUCCGGAGGAACACCGGUGGCGAAGGCGGCUUCCUGGACCGACACUGACGCUGAGGCGCGAAAGCUAGGGGAGCAAACGGG